UUUAAUAAAGACAAUAUGUAGGUCUGCUGCUUUAAGGACAAUAUGUAGGUCUGCUGUUUUAAUAAAGACAAUAUGUAGGUCUGCUGCUUUAAGGACAAUAUGUAGGUCUGCUGCUUUAAUAAGGACAAUAUGUAGGUCUGCUGCUUUAAGGACAAUAUGUAGGUCUGCUGCUUUAAGGACAAUAUGUAGGUCUGCUGCUUUAAGGACAAUAUGUAGGUCUGCUGCUUUAAGGACAAUAUGUAGGUCUGCUGCUUUAAGGACAAUAUGUAGGUCUGCUGUUUUAGUAAGGACAAUAUGUAGGUCUGCUGCUUUAAGGACAAUAUGAAGGUCUGCUGUUUUAAUAAGGACAAUAUGUAGGUCUGCUGUUUUAAAAGACAAUAUGUAGGUCUGCUGCUUUAAGGACAAUAUGUAGGUCUGCUGCUUUAAGGACAAUAUGUAGGUCUGCUGUUUUAAUAAAGACAAUAUGUAGGUCUGCUGCUUUAAGGACAAUAUGUAGGUCUGCUGCUUUAAGGACAAUAUGUAGGUCUGCUGCUUUAAGGACAAUAUGUAGGUCUGCUGCUUUAAGGACAAUAUGUAGGUCUGCUGCUUUAAGGACAAUAUGUAGGUCUGCUGUUUUAAUAAGGACAAUAUGUAGGUCUGCUGCUUUAAGG
This is a long non-coding RNA of Oncorhynchus keta (chum salmon), 650 nucleotides long. RefSeq lists it as uncharacterized. The record is from RefSeq and is a predicted model, not a curated record. The transcript has 5 exons. Lineage: Eukaryota; Metazoa; Chordata; Actinopteri; Salmoniformes; Salmonidae.